GAUGAACGCUGGCGGCGUGCUUAAUACAUGCAAGUCGAACGGAGACUGUAGCAAUACUGUCUUAGUGGCGAACGGGUGAGUAACGCGUUGGUGACCUGCCCCGAAGAGGGGGAUAACAGUCCGAAAGGAUUGCUAAUACCCCAUGUGGUCGUUUGGAUUAGAUGCCUUACGACUAAACGGAUUUAUUCGCUUCGGGAGGGGCCUGCGUCCCAUCAGCUAGUUGGUAGGGUAAUAGCCUACCAAGGCGAUGACGGGUAGGGGACCUGAGAGGGUGGCCCCCCACAAUGGAACUGAAACACGGUCCAUACACCUACGGGUGGCAGCAGUAGGGAAUAUUGGUAAUCUGGGAAACCGGGAACCAGCAACGCCGCGUGCGCGAUGAAGGUCUUCGGAUUGUAAAGCACUUUUUGGAGGGAUGAGGAAGGACAGUACCUCCAGAAUAAGCCUCGGCUAACUACGUG
Molecule: ribosomal RNA, 461 nt
Filed under: uncultured bacterium
Lineage: Bacteria
Description: bacterial SSU rRNA
Rfam family: Bacterial small subunit ribosomal RNA
Source: RNAcentral